Sphaerodactylus townsendi is the source of this 958-nucleotide long non-coding RNA. RefSeq lists it as uncharacterized. The transcript is spliced from 3 exons. NCBI's taxonomy places the organism in Eukaryota, Metazoa, Chordata, Lepidosauria, Squamata, Sphaerodactylidae. The record is from RefSeq and is a predicted model, not a curated record.
CUGGGAGUUAAAGUUCUGGUGCCCUUUCCGAGGAAGGAUUGGCUAAAGGCUGACGCUUAGCAGCAAUGGCAGCCAAAAGUAAGCAAGCUAUGCUGAAUGGAAGCCACCAGAUGACUUCAACAUGGCAAUUUACAAAAUAGAAAAAAAUCUGACUGUGCUUUGAAGAAGAGAAAGUCCGAAAACCCAUAUACGCGAACGCGUGUGCAUGAUUUCAUUCAUAAACUGUGAGCAUGAUUUCAUUCAUAAACUGCUAUGUCCUUGCACAACGGCUUUACCAUUUCAAAAUCGUGAGCCUUUAAUAAGACGUUUAUUUGCUUCAUACAAAUUUGGAAGAGGCCACUUCAACAAUAUAUUUGAGAUACGUUUUGGAUUACAAAUUGACUUUUGACAGCAUAUAUCCCGACUUAUCCUUCGAGUUCUACUGAAUGUUUGGGAGGUGCUAACGCCUCUAUAGAUCCUGGCUGGGGCAUUUAAGAAUCAUUUAUAAGAGAACAUUAUGUAUAUAUUUGAUGAAUUGUAGUAACUAGUGACAUUGGGAGAUAUCAAAUUUAUAUAUGCACCUGGUAUUGGGCAAUUUAUUACGUUUCAUUUAUUUGAAUUUACAGUAUAAUUAUAAGAAGAAAGAGUAUAUGAAUAAACCAAUUUGUAUGUAUGUGUGAACAGAAGUAUAGAGGUAUUGGAGUUCAAUUACAAUUAAUAUUCAAGAAGUUGCCUGUCAGUGUACUACGCGUUUUUGGUUGUAUACAAUUUAGUACGUAGUACACACACCUGUUGGAUUGCUCUGUCAUUUCUAUGCCCGCAUUAAAGUAUACACGGGUACAGAAAAAGGGGGACAAGAGAUGACAAAAUUGGGGGUCAUCAGGAUACCACUGAGUGUGUCCAGGGUUGCUAUACAGGCAACAGCAAACCACCUCUCAGCAUCUCUUGCCUGGAAAACCCCACAGGACAACCCUGUCAU